AGUGAAUAGAUACCCUGGUAGUCCACGCUGUAAACGAUGAUCACUCGUUGUUGGCGAUAUACUGUCAGCGACUGAGCGAAAGCAUUAAGUGAUCCACCUGGGGAGUACGGCGGCAACGUUGAAACUCAAAGGAAUUGACGGGGGCCCGCACAAGCGGAGGAGCAUGUGGUUUAAUUCGAUGAUACGCGAGGAACCUUACCUGGGCUUAAAUGUAGGACGACGUUUCGUGAAAGCGGAAUUUCCUUCGGGACGUCUUACAAGGUGCUGCAUGGUUGUCGUCAGCUCGUGCCGUGAGGUGUCGGGUUAAGUCCCAUAACGAGCGCAACCCUUAUCAUUAGUUGCCAUCAGGUCAAGCUGGGAACUCUAAUGAAACUGCCUACGCAAGUAGUGAGGAAGGUGGGGGAUGACGUCAAAUCAGCACGGCCCUUAUGUCCAGGGCGACACACGUGCUACAAUGGCCAGUACAGAGGGUUGCUACCUGGUGACAGGAUGCUAAUCUCGAAAGCUGGUCUCAGUUCGGAUU
RNAcentral lists this ribosomal RNA (523 nucleotides) under uncultured bacterium. Its description in RNAcentral is "bacterial SSU rRNA". It matches the Rfam family "Bacterial small subunit ribosomal RNA", at positions 774 to 1299 of the family's 1533-position model. The record is from RNAcentral.